ACUCAAAGGAAUUGACGGGGGCCCGCACAAGCAGUGGAGUAUGUGGUUUAAUUCGAAGCAACGCGAAGAACCUUACCAGGUCUUGACAUCGUGCGCAUAGCCUAGAGAUAGGCGAAGCCCUUCGGGGCGCAUAGACAGGUGGUGCAUGGUUGUCGUCAGCUCGUGUCGUGAGAUGUUGGGUUAAGUCCCGCAACGAGCGCAACCCUUAUGAUUAGUUGCUACGCAAGAGCACUCUAAUGAGACUGCCGUUGACAAAACGGAGGAAGGUGGGGAUGACGUCAAAUCAUCAUGCCCCUUAUGACCUGGGCUACACACGUACUACAAUGGCGCUUGAACAAAGGGAAGCGACACCGCGAGGUGAAGCGGAUCCCAAAAAAGCGUCUCAGUUCGGAUCGCAGGCUGCAACCCGCCUGCGUGAAGUCGGAAUUGCUAGUAAUCGCAGAUCAGCAUGCUGCGGUGAAUACGUUCCCGGGCCUUGCACACACCGCCCGU
This 492-nucleotide ribosomal RNA is filed under the name uncultured bacterium. Its description in RNAcentral is "bacterial SSU rRNA". It matches the Rfam family "Bacterial small subunit ribosomal RNA", at positions 899 to 1397 of the family's 1533-position model. The record is from RNAcentral.